UUUCCGUAGGUGAACCUGCGGAAGGAUCAUUACCGAGUACCGGUACCCUUUGGGUGCCUGCUCCCACCAUUUGUGAACCUUUUUCGUUGCCUCGGCGGACCGGUGGUUCUCCACCCUUCGGCGAAAGCUGGAGAGCGUCCGCCAGAGGAAUUUUCAAACCCGUUUAAUUUUGAAAUCUGAGUUAAACAAAAAUAAAAACAAAACUUUCAACAACGGAUCUCUUGGUUCUGGCAUCGAUGAAGAACGCAGC
RNAcentral lists this unclassified non-coding RNA (250 nucleotides) under uncultured fungus. RNAcentral's name for it is "sequence contains ITS1, 5.8S rRNA gene". The stretch from base 202 to 250 matches the Rfam family "5.8S ribosomal RNA", at positions 1 to 49 of the family's 154-position model. Lineage: Eukaryota; Fungi. The record is from RNAcentral.